GUACACAAUCACAAGAGAGACCUCGGCAAAAAAUGACACAAGAUUUUUUACCGAGGUUCACUUGCUUCCCGGCAAGCUACUCCUCGUUGUGGCGAUACACCCACUUGAUGGAUCACGAGCUAAUUGGCAGUCCAAAGCCAAACCCUCAGCGGGUGCCGCACAUCCACUCAUAAGAUGGGGAUCCUCCAAGCCACGAGCAGUCCACUAGAGUAACCAAUUUACGAUCUCCCGCGGAAAAGGCUCAAGAACCCCUCACAAAUCACUUGGUGAGGCUCAAAACAAUCUCCAAUCACGAGCUCAACACCACCGCUGCUCCAAGCCGUCUAGGGCGUCGGGAAACACCCAAGAGUAACAAGAAAUCCGCAGCAAACUCAAGAAUCAAGUGCCACUAAAUGCAACUCUCAAAGCAAUGCACUUGAAACUCACUCAAUCUCACUAGGAUGAGCAAUCAAGCAAGGAGAUGAGUGAAAAGAGUGUUCUCUAGCUCAAUGUAUGCCUCUAGUAUUCAAAUGUGCAAGAGCCAGCCUCCCAAAGCCGGCCACCUUCAAUUUAUAAGCCCCCUCAAAGAACUAGCCGUUGGCUGUUGACGGUCCUUAAGUAUCAAAUUUAAUUAUCAAAUAAAUAAAGAAAAGGAUCCAAAUGAAAUCAACAUCUAGACUUAGGGUUUUAUCUGACAGAAUUCCACGAGUUUUGGUGUUUGUCUAUUUCUACAGGGGGUUAUCAGGAAAUAUGGAAGAAAGGCCCACACAUCGGGAUUACAUAGAGAUAUUAACGUGCCGCGCAAUUAUCUUACAUCUAGAAGACUCCAGAAGCCACGAGACCGAAGUGGAGGCUUACCACGAGACUCCAGAAGCCACGAGACCACAGUAGAGGCUUACCGAAGUGGAGCCCCAUGUGAAAAAACAGUAAGCCCCAUGUGAGUAUAUGAGUGGCAUAAAACCCAUAAGUACAUUCACUGUGGUGGCAUAAAAAUAAAAUAAAAAUUUCUGUUCUGCUUUAUAAAAUAAAAAUAUAAAAACAGGGAGUAAUAAUUAUUAAGGAGUCUCAACAUGAUAAAGGCUAGAUAUUUAUGCUAACACUUAAUCAGUUCCACAAGCUUUGUUGUUUAUUUGAGCUCCACAGAAUUUAAGAAUCAAAGAAGACUAGCAGACGGAGGACAUUCUAAUCGCUGUCAGAAUGCUGCUGACUUUCAAAUACACCUCUGUCACCUGCUAGCUACAUCAAGAGAAAUUACGUCAAAAUUCAGCUUG
RNAcentral lists this long non-coding RNA (1250 nucleotides) under Sorghum bicolor (sorghum). RNAcentral describes it as "long non-coding RNA (SBIC_LNC010115)". Lineage: Eukaryota; Viridiplantae; Streptophyta; Magnoliopsida; Poales; Poaceae. The record is from RNAcentral.